This 1238-nucleotide ribosomal RNA is filed under the name metagenome. RNAcentral's name for it is "bacterial SSU rRNA". It matches the Rfam family "Bacterial small subunit ribosomal RNA", at positions 186 to 1400 of the family's 1533-position model. The record is from RNAcentral.
CUAGGAAGGAGUGACUAAAGGUGGGGCUCCUUCGGGACCUGCCGCUUGGGGAGGUGUCCGCGUGCCAUCAGCUUGUUGGUAGGGUAACGGCCUACCAAGGCUUACGGCUAGCUGGUCUGAGAGGAUGACCAGCCACACUGGGACUGAGACACUGCCCAGACUCCUACGGGAGGCUGCAGUCGAGGAUCAUUCGCAAUGCGCGAAAGCGUGACGAUGCGACGCUGCGUGGAGGAUGAAGGCUUUCGGGUUGUAAACUCCUGUCAUGAGGGAAAAGACGUCUUGGGGAAAUACCCCCGAGACCCGAUGGUACCUCAAGAGGAAGCCACGGCUAACUCUGUGCCAGCAGCCGCGGUAAUACAGAGGUGGCGAGCGUUGUUCGGAUUUACUGGGCGUAAAGCGUGUGUAGGCGGUAUCGUAUGUCAGAUGUGAAAUCCCACGGCCCAACCGGGGAACUGCAUCUGAAACUGCGGAACUAGAGUACAGGAGGGGAGAGCGGAAUUCUUGGUGUAGCGGUGAAAUGCGUUGAUAUCAAGAAGAACACCGGUGGCGAAGGCGGCUCUCUGGAAUGUUACUGACGCUCAGACACGAAAGUUGGGGGAGCAAACAGGAUUAGAUACCCUGGUAGUCCCAACCGUAAACGGUGUGCACUUGGUGUUGGAGGUAUUAACCCCUUCAGUGCCGGAGCUAACGCGUUAAGUGCACCGCCUGGGGAGUACGGCCGCAAGGCUAAAACUCAAAGAAAUUGACGGGGGCCCGCACAAGCGGAGGAGCAUGUGGCUUAAUUCGAUGCAACGCGAAGAACCUUACCUGGGCUUGACAUGUAACUGCACGCCCCGUGAAAGCGGGGUUCCUUCGAGGGUGUUACACAGGUGCUGCAUGGCUGUCGUCAGUUCGUGCCGUGAGGUGUUGGGUUAAGUCCCGCAACGAACGCAACCCUUGUGGUUAGUUGCCACCGUCGGUGAUAAGCCGGCGAGCACUCUAGCCAGACUGCCCGUACAAGCGGGAGGAAGGUGGGGAUGACGUCAAGUCAGUAUGGCCCUUACGUCCAGGGCUGCACACGUGCUACAAUGGCCGGUACAGAAGGAUGCAAUGCCGCGAGGUGGAGCAAAUCCCCAAAACCGGCCUCAGUUCGGAUUGUAGUCUGCAACUCGACUACAUGAAGUUGGAUUCGCUAGUAACGGCGUAUCAGCUACGACGCCGUGAAUACGUUCCCGGGCCUUGUACACACCGCCCGUCAC